RNAcentral lists this ribosomal RNA (563 nucleotides) under uncultured bacterium. RNAcentral's name for it is "partial 16S ribosomal RNA". It matches the Rfam family "Bacterial small subunit ribosomal RNA", at positions 355 to 911 of the family's 1533-position model. The record is from RNAcentral.
UGGGGAAUUUUGGACAAUGGGCGAAAGCCUGAUCCAGCAAUGCCGCGUGUGUGAAGAAGGCCUUCGGGUUGUAAAGCACUUUUGUCCGGAAAGAAAUCCUUGGCUCUAAUACAGUCGGGGGAUGACGGUACCGGAAGAAUAAGCACCGGCUAACUACGUGCCAGCAGCCGCGGUAAUACGUAGGGUGCAAGCGUUAAUCGGAAUUACUGGGCGUAAAGCGUGCGCAGGCGGUUUGCUAAGACCGAUGUGAAAUCCCCGGGCUCAACCUGGGAACUGCAUUGGUGACUGGCAGGCUAGAGUAUGGCAGAGGGGGGUAGAAUUCCACGUGUAGCAGUGAAAUGCGUAGAGAUGUGGAGGAAUACCGAUGGCGAAGGCAGCCCCCUGGGCCAAUACUGACGCUCAUGCACGAAAGCGUGGGGAGCAAACAGGAUUAGAUACCCUGGUAGUCCACGCCCUAAACGAUGUCAACUAGUUGUUGGGGAUUCAUUUCCUUAGUAACGUAGCUAACGCGUGAAGUUGACCGCCUGGGGAGUACGGUCGCAAGAUUAAAACUCAAAUGAAUU